Long non-coding RNA from Thalassophryne amazonica, 443 nucleotides. RefSeq lists it as uncharacterized. NCBI's taxonomy places the organism in Eukaryota, Metazoa, Chordata, Actinopteri, Batrachoidiformes, Batrachoididae. The transcript is spliced from 2 exons. The record is from RefSeq and is a predicted model, not a curated record.
UUUGGCCAUCAUGAUCAAAGAUAAUGGAUCAAAGGUCAAUGACCAAAGGUUAGGAUUAGGAUCAUAAAUCACCUUUAAGGAUCAAAGGUCAGUGAUCCGAAUCAAAGGGCAGCAAUCAGGAUCAAUAGGAGCAAAGCUAUCAAGCUCAAAGUUUAGCAAUUGUGAUUAAAGGUAAGUCACCAGGAUCAAAUGUUGGUAUCAAAGCUCAGCUAUAUAGAUCAAACAUCUGAAAUAUGAUCAUAGAUUAGCAAUUGGGUCCAAAGUUCAGCCAUCAGAAGCAAACAUCGGGUAUCGGGGUCACAGGUCAAUGAACACAAUCAUAGGUCAGGAUCAAAGCUAGCUAUCAGGAUCAAAGCUACACAUUCAGUAUAAGAGAAAAGAAUGCGCGCUGCGAAUUGCUUUUCUAGUUUGAAAACCUGCUGCAUCCACCAAAAACUGAGUCU